AUCAUUUCUUCUGGUGAUCUAGUAUAGUUUCUUUCUAUUUGUCCUUGCCCUACCUUUUACGGCCUUAUCUUUGGGAUGAGUGGCUAGUUGGCAAGGGGAUAUUUUAUUCAUGGUUAACUUAGAGUAAGGGGGCAUAUGGGUAUCUAUUGUACUCUAUAAUGAGCCUAGAGGGAAUAAUAUAGUGACUCUAGAGUGAAGACACACAUAUAUGUUAGUGCACAGGUGUGAGUACAUACUGCCGUAAAGUUAGUCAACCACCCUCCUCCUUGCUUCUCCUGUAUUCUUUUGGAGGUGGGGUGGGUGGCUUAUCAUUUGUGCACCUGGCUUUCUCUCUGUGUCCCAGUUGUCAGCUCUUUCUCUGGUCUCUUGGCACAAGUCCCAAGGCCAUUUGAUGCCUUUCUUUAUCUGAUUUUUCUCUCUUUCUCCAUCCCCAUCCUUGACUUGCUCCCCAUGGGAAUUUGUUUAGUAAAUUUUGUUUUUAACUCCUUCCAGUCAGGAUUAGCUAGAAGACCUAAGAAGGCCCCUAUUCUUUUUUUUUCCUCAUUGAGUUUAUCGGUACAUUUUAGGUAUACAGUACAGAUACAUUCAUUACUUGGAUCUUACAUGACAGGUCUUGGUUCUCAUUUUUCCCCUUGUCCCUUCCAUCCCUUCACCCUCUCCUCCCCUCCCCAUUUACAGACACUUUAUUUCCAUUUUUUCAUAGUUUUUUCUUUUCCCUUAUUCCCUUCCCCCUACUCUUCCCACUUCCCCUACACCUUUAACCCUUUUCUUCCUAUUUCACAUUGUUAAUUAUCUCAUUAGGAUCUUGUGAACUAGUAUAGUUUUCACACCAGAGAAACUAUUCAGUAUUUACACAUGUGUGACUUAUUUAUUUCACUUAGGAGUAUAUCCUCAAAAUGUAUCCAUUUUCUUAUGAUUGACUCUAAUUUCUCAUUCUUUUUAUUUUGGUACCGGGGCUUUGAACUCAGGUCCUUGCGCUUGCAAGGCAGGCCACCGAACUGCUGAGCUAAAUCCCCAGCCCCUUCUCAUUCUUUUUAUUAAAGAUUGCAAACAUACAUGAUAAUAAGAAAUGAAGAUACUGAAUAAAAAUUUCAAAUAUGCAUUUAUAUGACAGCAAAAAAAUGAUAUGAAAUAAACAAGAACUUAUGUAAUACAGACUAAUCAAAAUACAUUAAUUUGAUAUGAUCUGCAAACAUUAUGUUCU
RNAcentral lists this long non-coding RNA (1204 nucleotides) under Fukomys damarensis (Damara mole-rat). RNAcentral's name for it is "lncRNA (ENSFDAG00000029323.1)". Lineage: Eukaryota; Metazoa; Chordata; Mammalia; Rodentia; Bathyergidae. The record is from RNAcentral.